UACGGAGGGUGCAAACGUUGCUCGGAAUCACUGGGCGUAAAGCGCGCGUAGGCGGCCCGAAAAGUUGGAUGUGAAAGCCCUGGGCUCAACCCAGGAAGUGCAUUCAAAACUAUUGGGCUUGAAUCUCGGAGGGGGCCAGAGAAUUCCCGGUGUAGAGGUGAAAUUCGUAGAUAUCGGGAGGAAUACCAGUGGCGAAGGCG
This 200-nucleotide ribosomal RNA is filed under the name uncultured bacterium. Its description in RNAcentral is "partial 16S ribosomal RNA". It matches the Rfam family "Bacterial small subunit ribosomal RNA", at positions 524 to 723 of the family's 1533-position model. The record is from RNAcentral.